Molecule: long non-coding RNA, 205 nt
Filed under: Sorghum bicolor (sorghum)
Lineage: Eukaryota; Viridiplantae; Streptophyta; Magnoliopsida; Poales; Poaceae
Description: long non-coding RNA (SBIC_LNC011854)
Source: RNAcentral
UGCUCUACGUGCUUAUAUUCAAGAUUAUAUUGUUCUUAGUUUAUCAUAGUUAUGUACUUGGCUUAGUUAGAUUGGAUCUAUAUACAUGCUUAGGAUCGUAUAGCGUUUAUCCAUCGGAUCCAUGGGUAAAUGAUAGAUAUUGUGUAGGCGUGGUGCUUAUACCGUAUUUAUCUGCGAUUGUACCCAAUAUGCCAGAUCGUGGGGU